GUCUAUGGCCAUGCUACCCUGAACAAGCUCGAUCCCGUCUGAUCUCGGAAGCUAAGCAGGGUCGGGCCUGGUUAGUACUUGGAUGGGAGACCACCUAGGAAGACCAGGUGCUGUAGGUG
Molecule: ribosomal RNA, 119 nt
Filed under: Pteropus alecto (black flying fox)
Lineage: Eukaryota; Metazoa; Chordata; Mammalia; Chiroptera; Pteropodidae
Source: RNAcentral